This is a non-coding RNA of Flavobacterium sp. LM5, 79 nucleotides long. The record is from Rfam. NCBI's taxonomy places the organism in Bacteria, Pseudomonadati, Bacteroidota, Flavobacteriia, Flavobacteriales, Flavobacteriaceae.
UUUUUGCGUUAGGGAUGGUAGUGGCAUCCUUUACUGCCGGGGUUCGGCAGUAAAGAUAUAACGUACAGCCCGGCCCUUG